This 85-nucleotide transfer RNA is filed under the name Felis catus (domestic cat). It matches the Rfam family "tRNA". From Rfam's summary of the family: Transfer RNA (tRNA) molecules are approximately 80 nucleotides in length. Their secondary structure includes four short double-helical elements and three loops (D, anti-codon, and T loops). Further hydrogen bonds mediate the characteristic L-shaped molecular structure. tRNAs have two regions of fundamental functional importance: the anti-codon, which is responsible for specific mRNA codon recognition, and the 3' end, to which the tRNAs corresponding amino acid is attached (by aminoacyl-tRNA synthetases). tRNAs cope with the degeneracy of the genetic code in two manners: having more than one tRNA (with a specific anti-codon) for a particular amino acid; and 'wobble' base-pairing, i.e. permitting non-standard base-pairing at the 3rd anti-codon position. Lineage: Eukaryota; Metazoa; Chordata; Mammalia; Carnivora; Felidae. RNAcentral also lists the same sequence under 2 other names. The record is from Rfam by way of RNAcentral.
GCCUGGGUGGCUCAGUCGGUUAAGCAUCCGACUUCAGCUCAGGUCAUGAUCUCGUGGUUUGUGGGUUUGAGCCCCACAUCGGGCU